Molecule: ribosomal RNA, 496 nt
Filed under: uncultured bacterium
Lineage: Bacteria
Description: partial 16S ribosomal RNA
Rfam family: Bacterial small subunit ribosomal RNA
Source: RNAcentral
AUGAACGCUGGCGGCGUGCCUAAUACAUGCAAGUCGAGCGAACAGACGAGGAGCUUGCUCCUCUGACGUUAGCGGCGGACGGGUGUGUAACACGUGGAUAACCUACCUAUAAGACUGGGAUAACUUCGGGAAACCGGAGCUAAUACCGGAUAAUAUAUUGAACCGCAUGGUUCAAUAGUGAAAGACGGUUUUGCUGUCACUUAUAGAUGGAUCCGCGCCGCAUUAGCUAGUUGGUAAGGUAACGGCUUACCAAGGCAACGAUGCGUAGCCGACCUGAGAGGGUGAUCGGCCACACUGGAACUGAGACACGGUCCAGACUCCUACGGGAGGCAGCAGUAGGGAAUCUUCCGCAAUGGGCGAAAGCCUGACGGAGCAACGCCGCGUGAGUGAUGAAGGUCUUCGGAUCGUAAAACUCUGUUAUUAGGGAAGAACAAAUGUGUAAGUAACUAUGCACGUCUUGACGGUACCUAAUCAGAAAGCCACGGCUAACUACGUG